This 505-nucleotide ribosomal RNA is filed under the name uncultured bacterium. Its description in RNAcentral is "bacterial SSU rRNA". It matches the Rfam family "Bacterial small subunit ribosomal RNA", at positions 8 to 526 of the family's 1533-position model. The record is from RNAcentral.
AGAGUUUGAUCAUGGCUCAGGACGAACGCUGGCGGCGUGCUUAACACAUGCAAGUCGAGCGGUAAGGCCCUUUCGGGGGUACACGAGCGGCGAACGGGUGAGUAACACGUGGGUGACCUGCCCUCAGCUCUGGGAUAAGCCCGGGAAACUGGGUCUAAUACCGGAUAGGACACAUCGGCGCAUGUUGGUGUGUGGAAAGAUUCGGUUCGGCUGGGGAUGGGCCCGCGGCCUAUCAGCUUGUUGGUGGGGUGAUGGCCUACCAAGGCGGUGACGGGUAGCCGGCCUGAGAGGGCGACCGGCCACACUGGGACUGAGACACGGCCCAGACUCCUACGGGAGGCAGCAGUGGGGAAUAUUGCGCAAUGGGCGGAAGCCUGACGCAGCGACGCCGCGUGGGGGAUGACGGCCUUCGGGUUGUAAACCUCUUUCGCCAGGGACGAAGCUUUUGUGACGGUACCUGGAUAAGAAGCACCGGCCAACUACGUGCCAGCCGCCGCGGUAAUUC